Molecule: ribosomal RNA, 462 nt
Filed under: uncultured bacterium
Lineage: Bacteria
Description: partial 16S ribosomal RNA
Rfam family: Bacterial small subunit ribosomal RNA
Source: RNAcentral
CCUACGGGAGACAGCAGUGAGGAAUAUUGGUCAAUGGACGCAAGUCUGAACCAGCCAAGUAGCGUGCAGGAUGACGGCCCUCCGGGUUGUAAACUGCUUUUAGUUGGGAAUAAAAGGGGGCUCGUGAGCCCCGUAUUGUAUGUACCAUCAGAAAAAGGACCGGCUAAUUCCGUGCCAGCAGCCGCGGUAAUACGGAAGGUCCGGGCGUUAUCCGGAUUUAUUGGGUUUAAGGGGAGCGUAGGCCGGCUUUUAAGUCAGCUGUGAAAGUCCGGGGCUCAACCGUGGAAUUGCAGUUGAAACUGGAGGCCGUGAGUGCACACAGGGAUGCCGGAAUUCAUGGUGUAGCGGUGAAAUGCUUAGAUAUCAUGAAGAACUCCGAUCGCGAAGGCAAGUGUCCGGGGUGCAACUGACGCUGAGGCUCGAAAGUGCGGGUAGCAAACAGGAUUAGAUACCCUUGUAGUC